RNAcentral lists this non-coding RNA (23 nucleotides) under Cricetulus griseus (Chinese hamster). Lineage: Eukaryota; Metazoa; Chordata; Mammalia; Rodentia; Cricetidae. The record is from RNAcentral.
CAGCCUGGACUGCAUGCUGAGGC